This 97-nucleotide long non-coding RNA is filed under the name Callithrix jacchus (white-tufted-ear marmoset). RNAcentral's name for it is "lncRNA (ENSCJAG00000066063.2)". Lineage: Eukaryota; Metazoa; Chordata; Mammalia; Primates; Cebidae. The record is from RNAcentral.
CCUGUUCAUGUUACAGACCUGAAAGCUGACAGAAGAUCACAAUUGCCACUACAGCUUGAACUAAAACAUCAGCUCUUUCCAAGUCUUGAGCCUUCCA